UACGUAGGUGACCAGCGUUGUCCGGAUUUAUUGGGCGUAAAGAGCGCGCAGGCGGUCGUUCAAGUCGAGUGUGAAAGCCCCCGGCUCAACUGGGGAGGGUCACUCGAUACUGAUCGAUUUGAAGGCAGGAGAGGGAAGCGGAAUUCCCGGUGUAGUGGUGAAAUGCGCAGAUAUCAGGAAGAACACCCGUGGCGAAGGCGGCUCUCUGGGACGGUACUGACGCUGAGACGCGAAAGCGUGGGGAGCGAACAGG
Molecule: ribosomal RNA, 253 nt
Filed under: uncultured bacterium
Lineage: Bacteria
Description: partial 16S ribosomal RNA
Rfam family: Bacterial small subunit ribosomal RNA
Source: RNAcentral